CUCUGGGAAGCAGAGCAUUCUGUUCGGCACACGCCACCGCUGCAGAGCUGAAGCUAGCUCACGCCUGAGUAAAAUAGGCAAGCUACUCUUUUGCUAAGUACAAACGAUUUUAUAGAUUGCCUCUUGCGAAGGUGACUUGGAUAUAUUCUAGCAUUAAAAUUUAAUAGUAUCUGCAGCAGAUUUCUUUCACCCCCCCCCCAUCCGUUGUUCUUUCAGUAUGGGCAGUGCUUAUAUGGAGAUUCGUUUACUGAAAAGUGGGAGGAGAUUGACAGACAAAAUCUCUCAUCUAUUUUUUUUUUCCUUGAGAGCGAAGCUUCUGCACAAAGGAAGGAGCUGGGUAUUUGUCCAGUGAACACACACUUGGAUGCUGCCUCCUCCUCUAAUGUGGGAACACUUGCCAAAAAAUCAGAAUUUGCCCUGGCGUCUUCCAGUUUUAUUAAGCACAAAUGGGCAGAUUGUUUGAAAUGGAUAUGAUGAACCAUGAUGAACUUUAUUUCACUGCGCUUUUAAAUAACAUCAUGCCAACACUCUUCUACAAUGGAUGAACAUGAGGAAGUAUAUUUAAGAUGAAGCUAAUGAGGCCUCCAGCAAGAUGCAUUCACAAUGAACUCCAAGUGCUGGUAAGAUUGCAUAUACGGAGGCGCAAGAAAGUCCUGGCACUUCUCCAUACAAGACCUCCAGAGAAGACAGUAGGUGUGCAUCCAACAUUUUAUUAUGUAGUGCAGCCAUUUCUUUCUUGCUCCGACAUAUACAUGUCGCUCUGUCGGUUCCCAAGGGCAACUUUGAUCAUAGUGAGCCUCAUGUUAUGAGCAGUUCUACCAGUAUCUUCACAGCUUAUCUGGGAUCUCUUAAGAUGAUAAAUAUGUAAUAGAACUGCUGGAUAUGCAGACAUCCUUAAAGGUUAGUGAUGAGAAAAGAUAAUAGAGACUAAGCCCUAGAAUUACCACAAUAAAAACAAUGCAGAAAUUAAUUAGCCUUUAUAUUAGAGGCUUCUUUAGUUAAAUUAUUUUUGAAAGAAAAAAUAACUCAAAAUGCAACUAUAUUAAAAACAGAGUGUCCAGAUCAAAUGAUAAACCUAAUACCAUUACACCAAUAAGGAACAACAUUACUUUCUUUAUAAUGUGCACUUUAUAAUUACCAAACGAUAUGUAUAUAUUUAUAAACAUUUCAUAGUCCCACAUAUGGGAUUAUCUGCCUAGCGAGCAGAACAUCAUACUGAAACCAUUUCAGGACACUAGCUUCAACUAGAAGCAGCUGCAUGCAUUUCGUUUUUUGCUGCGUUGGUUGCUUUGUGUGUUUUCUCUUCCAGCUUCUAUUAUGUGACCUGAAUCAGGUAUACAACUCACAUUGUUAUAACUACACCAGAAAAGAUUAUGUUCUUGGGAAUCACUAGCUGCAAGAGAUAAAAGAUUUAGUUCUGUUUCCAGACUUUGCAAACCUGUCAUCUUCCAGCUGUCACAACUGUUCUCUGGGAAGAGGUUUCCCUGGACUACCAUCUCAAAUCAAUGAAUAUCUACAUGCAAAGCUGUCAGAUUCUGUUACUUUGUGUCUCGACUGCCUCCCCACAAUUUGCUCUCAAGAGAUGUAUUUUAUUUUAAAACCUAUACAGCUACAUGCUUUUGAAUGUGCUUUCAGACUACUAAUAUCUAUUUCAGGUCAACACACAAGUGAAAAUAAGAGAUUGUAAGAAUCCAGUCAAGAUCUGCAUUAGGAAAUAUAUAGCAAACAUGCCAAACUAGUAAAACAAACACAACCAUAGAAUCAGACAUAGGUAUCAUAAUUCUGCCAGAUGCAUUGUCAUACAGAAACUGUUGUGGUUUCUCUGGUUGCUGUUUAUGUUGUGUUUUGCUAUAGAAAAACAUAUCUGGACAAAUGUGAACCAUGCAGUAGGUAAGAGUUCAUCUUAUAAAAUUAUAAUUUGGUGAUCAUGGGUUAAAUGAUGGAGAUAACAUAUUUGCUUUGGAAGUUUAUAUGGUAUAUCUAUGUAAAUUCAACACCAAUCUCUUUGUUUGCUUAGGGGUUCGAUAUGUAUAUAGCCACGGAAUUCCAAUGAUUUACUUUGUUAUCAAAUAUGAUUCUGCAGUCAAGUAAUAUGUAUCACUUGUCUAAAGCUUUGUAAUACAAAAGUGGCAUAUACAUAUACUGUAUGGUAUAUAUAUAAAAGCUUUGGUAUUUUUUUGCUUUAAGAUGUUGAAUAUGUGAAUCUUGCAUCUGGAGAGAACAUGAAGAGUUAGCAUGUUAGGACAGACCAGAGUGAACCCUAAUUUAUGUACCUAUAUGAUAAUAGAUAAUGAACUUUUGGGGAUGUUGUGUUAAUUGCGUAUUUGUUAUAUAACAGUAAGCAUCACUUUUCAGUUCAAAAAUACCCAUUAACAUUUUUAUAACAUAAAAAACAUUUAAAAAGAGUUGGGUGAAGCAAGAGAUGUUAAGAAAACAUUACCAAAAGAUAAAAACAACUCCACAUGAUUGGAACGGUAUUCAAGGCUAACAGAGGUUUGCAGUAUCUAUACAAGCCAAAACAUAUUUUAUACUACAAUUACUGCCCUACCUAUUUGCAAUCCUCAAAUAAUGACUUGAUGUUAAUUAUCAGUCUUUAGAAUACAGUACAGUUAAAAGGAAAAAGCAUCAUGGAGCACAAUAAUGUGGUAUGCGACAAGGUUCAGCUAUUUUGAUCUGCUGUUAGGCUCAAAAUGAUCUGCAGAUGUUGUGUUUGAGCAGAUUAUCUAGCAAAAGGCAAUUUACUUUGUGCGGAUAAUUAGCAGCCAAAAGUUAGAAAGCACAUUUGAAUCUGAAAUAGGCUUUUCACACUACUUUUAUGUUUGAGACAAUUAAGCAAAUUGAUUUUACAAUGCUAUAUGCUCUUGUUUAUUUAUUUAUUUUCCUGGUCUUCGUUUACUCUUUUACUCAACGACACCACCCAAUAAUUUGCUUCAAGAAAGAUACCACAGCUAUUUUGAUGACAUAAUGCAUAUUUAUUUUAAACAAGGUCAUUUAUAAUUUUUAACAUUUAAAAAGGCUUAUUAACAGUUUCUAUUAUUUCUCCUUUAACAUUCUCUGUAAAUCUCCAUAUCACCUCCUAGAUCCCUCCUACUAAUCUAGCUACCUCCUGUUGAUUUUGGUUUAAUGACCCCCCUCCAAGAAAGGCUUGAAUUGGGGCAUGGACUAGCCAUGACAGUGGGGUAUGACAUCACUAUACGUAUCACUUGGAACAAAAUGUUGGAAUAUUCCAGUUCUCUUUUACAGGCAUGUUAAUCACAGAAAUAUGCAAGGUACCAUGGGAACUGGAGUCUUGGUUGGAGGAGAGUUUACUGCUGUUCAAUUAUUCCAAUGGUACAUGAAGUCAGAAGUGACGCAGGGCAAUGUGCAGGGAAUUGCAUAUUGAAGACAGAUACUGCUUUAAAUAGCAAUUACACAUACAAAUAACUAGCCCACUCUAUUUAAUGAAUCAAUCUCACAUUACUUUGGUAAAAGGCCAUUUUGAUCCAACCUGCAGCUUGACCACUUUAGAGCUGACUCAAUGCCUUAUGUUUGUGUUCCACUUGCAUGUCUUGCAAUUACCUUUGGAACAUUUGUGGAAAGCUUUAACAGCGAGACACAAUAAAUGCAUGCACUGGAAGGAAAUUAGAGCAUUAAGCCCAGGAGAG
Molecule: long non-coding RNA, 3644 nt
Organism: Xenopus laevis (African clawed frog)
Lineage: Eukaryota; Metazoa; Chordata; Amphibia; Anura; Pipidae
Exons: 7
Source: RefSeq, a predicted model, not a curated record